Molecule: non-coding RNA, 241 nt
Filed under: Megasphaera sp.
Lineage: Bacteria; Bacillati; Bacillota; Negativicutes; Veillonellales; Veillonellaceae
Description: T-box sequence
Rfam family: T-box leader
About the family: Uncharged tRNA acts as the effector for transcription antitermination of genes in the T-box leader family.
Source: RNAcentral
GAAAAUCUGAUGACGGGAGAAAGUAGUGUGUCUGGUCCCAUGACAGAGAGCCGGCGGGUGGUGUGAGCCGGUAUGAGCCGGCAGACGAAGGUCCUCCCCGAAGAGCGGUGCUGAAUCAGAUUAGGCGCCUACGGCUGUUCCCCGUUACAGGAAACGCGUAUGUUGGUACGUUGUAGAGAGCCCGGAUGCAGCAAUGCUCCGGGAAUCAGGGUGGUAUCGCGGAUUAUACUCCGUCCCUUGC